CACAAAACAAGCGGUGAGUGCUUUGGGGUGGGGUGACUGCGUACCUUUUGUAUAAUGGGUCAGCGACUUAUAUUCUGUAGCAAGGUUAACCGUAUAGGGGAGCCGAAGGGAAACCGAGUCUUAACUGGGCGUUAAGUUGCAGGGUAUAGACCCGAAACCCGGUGAUCUAGCCAUGGGCAGGUUGAAGGUUGGGUAACACUAACUGGAGGACCGAACCGACUAAUGUUGAAAAAUUAGCGGAUGACUUGUGGCUGGGGGUGAAAGGCCAAUCAAACCGGGAGAUAGCUGGUUCUCCCCGAAAGCUAUUUAGGUAGCGCCUCGUGAACUCAUCUUCGGGGGUAGAGCACUGUUUCGGCUAGGGGGUCAUCCCGACUUACCAACCCGAUGCAAACUGCGAAUACCGAAGAAUGUUAUCACGGGAGACACACGGCGGGUGCUAACGUCCGUCGUGAAGAGGGAAACAACCCAGACCGCCAGCUAAGGUCCCAAAGUCACAGUUAAGUGGGAAACGAUGUGGGAAGGCUCAGACAGCCAGGAUGUUGGCUUAGAAGCAGCCAUCAUUUAAAGAAAGCGUAAUAGCUCACUGGUCGAGUCGGCCUGCGCGGAAGAUGUAACGGGGCUAAACUGUGCACCGAAGCUGCGGCAGCGACGCUUAUGCGUUGUUGGGUAGGGGAGCGUUCUGUAAGCCUGCGAAGGUGUCCUGUGAGGGAUGCUGGAGGUAUCAGAAGUGCGAAUGCUGACAUAAGUAACGAUAAUGCGGGUGAAAAGCCCGCUCGCCGGAAGACCAAGGGUUCCUGUCCAACGUUAAUCGGGGCAGGGUGAGUCGACCCCUAAGGCGAGGCCGAAAGGCGUAGUCGAUGGGAAACGGGUUAAUAUUCCCGUACUUGGUGUUACUGCGAAGGGGGGACGGAGAAGGCUAUGUUGGCCGGGCGACGGUUGUCCCGGUUUAAGCGUGUAGGCUGGUUUUCCAGGCAAAUCCGGAAAAUCAAG
RNAcentral lists this ribosomal RNA (990 nucleotides) under Salmonella enterica. RNAcentral describes it as "partial 23S ribosomal RNA". It matches the Rfam family "Bacterial large subunit ribosomal RNA", at positions 566 to 1554 of the family's 2925-position model. RNAcentral also lists the same sequence under 1 other name. Lineage: Bacteria; Pseudomonadati; Pseudomonadota; Gammaproteobacteria; Enterobacterales; Enterobacteriaceae. The record is from RNAcentral.